Long non-coding RNA from Heterocephalus glaber (naked mole-rat), 631 nucleotides. Lineage: Eukaryota; Metazoa; Chordata; Mammalia; Rodentia; Bathyergidae. The record is from Ensembl.
AGGCGCACGCGCGACUUCCGCCGUUCCGACUCCCGGGGUACGGAGUGCGGAGCGUGCGGACCCGACGGUCUCGGUAUGGAGUUCAGACUGUCCUGGACCUCACUAUGGAGUCCAGGCUGGCGUUGAACUUACAACGAUCCUCCUGUGUCAGCCUCUGCAGUGUUGGGAUUAGAGGUGUGUGCUACCAUGCCCGGCUAAGUACUGGAGAUCGAACUCAGGACCUUGCGCUUGCCUGCCAGGCCCAGUGCCCCUGAGCUACAUCCUAGACCUUGCUUGUUUAUUUUUAAAAGGGAAAUCCUAAACAGGGAACACAGACCUUCCAUCAGGCCACUCCAGAGGCACGGGCGGAGGAAUGGCAACAGCUUGUAAGAGGGGCCACUCUUGGUAAGCGGGCUCCUUCCCAGAAUGUGCUUUCCUGCAACCCAGAGGGCCUGUGCAGAACUGACCUUCAGGGCCCCAAACUGGAGACAUGCUGAUGUGCCUUCUGCUUUGUUGACUUGAUUAGGCUGGGAUCUGAGGUGCUAAUCAGUAUGUUUUCUCCUGUUCCUAAGUAGCUCUUAUGAUAUUGGACUUUUUUUUUUUGGUACUGGGGAUUGAACUCGGGUCCUUGAGCUUUUGAGGCAGGCGGCAG